Molecule: small RNA, 559 nt
Filed under: Pan troglodytes (chimpanzee)
Lineage: Eukaryota; Metazoa; Chordata; Mammalia; Primates; Hominidae
Description: retained intron
Source: RNAcentral
GACACUGUCCCAGCUGCCACCUAGACUCGGAGCUCCCUCCAAACCUCCAGCGAAGACAUCCCAGCCAUGGCCAUGCAGAAAAUCUUUGCCCGGGAAAUCUUGGACUCCAGGGGCAACCCCACGGUGGAGGUGGACCUGCACACGGCCAAGGGCCGAUUCCGAGCAGCUGUGCCCAGUGGGGCUUCCACGGGUAUCUAUGAGGCUCUGGAACUAAGAGACGGAGACAAAGGCCGCUACCUGGGGAAAGGUGAGGAGACACCAGUGCAGAAGGAGCCUGUGUGGGUGGCUUUAGGACAUGGGUGCCCAAUGGGUAGAGGACUGGAACCCCCAAGGCUCUUGAGGAGCCGGGGUCCACAGAAAGAGGCCCAGUUGAUUGAGAUCCAAAACUCAUCCUCUGGCCUGUCUAGGAGUCCUGAAGGCUGUGGAGAACAUCAACAAUACUCUGGGCCCUGCUCUGCUGCAAAAGGCAAGUGGGGAAGCCCGCUCCCUGCAGCCUCCUCCCCAUGCCCCUGCUCCCUCAGCCCGGACAGGCUUCUCCCGUAACAUUUUCCCUUAUCCU